Molecule: ribosomal RNA, 1160 nt
Filed under: uncultured Fusobacterium sp.
Lineage: Bacteria; Fusobacteriati; Fusobacteriota; Fusobacteriia; Fusobacteriales; Fusobacteriaceae
Description: bacterial SSU rRNA
Rfam family: Bacterial small subunit ribosomal RNA (bases 1-790)
Source: RNAcentral
GAUGAACGCUGACAGAAUGCUUAACACAUGCAAGUCGACUCGAGUCUUCGGACUUGGGUGGCGCACGGGUGAGUAACGCGUAAAGAACUUGCCUCUUAGACCGGGACAACAUCUGGAAACGGAUGCUAAUACCGGAUAUUAUGGUUUUUUCGCAUGGAGGAAUCAUGAAAGCUGGAUGCGCUAAGAGAGAGCUUUGCGUCCCAUUAGCUAGUUGGUGAGGUAACGGCCCACCAAGGCAAUGAUGGGUAGCCGGCCUGAGAGGGUGAACGGCCACAAGGGGACUGAGACACGGCCCUUACUCCUACGGGAGGCAGCAGUGGGGAAUAUUGGACAAUGGACCGCAAGUCUGAUCCAGCAAUUCUGUGUGCACGAUGACGUUUUUCGGAAUGUAAAGUGCUUUCAGUCGGGAAGAAGUCAGUGACGGUACCGACAGAAGAAGCGACGGCUAAAUACGUGCCAGCAGCCGCAGUAAUACGUAUGUCGCAAGCGUUAUCCGGAUUUAUUGGGCGUAAAGCGCGUCUAGGCGGCAAGGAAAGUCUGAUGUGAAAAUGCGGAGCUCAACUCCGUAUGGCGUUGUAAACUGCCUUACUAUAGUACUGUAGAGGUAGGCGGAACUACGAGUGUAGAGGUGAAAUUCGUAUAUAUGUGUAGGAAUGCCGAUGGGGGAAGCCAGCCUACUGGACAGUUACUGACGCAUAAUGCGCGAAAUCGUUGUGUAUCCUACGGAUUAUAUGCCCUGGUAGUCCCAAGGUCGGAUUUCCACUUGGAUAUCGAGCUGUCGGAGCCCGCCCACCCUCGUGUGGUGAACAACAGAACAGCAUAUUUAUGUUCCCUUUUGUGAUGUGUGAAUUAAUUUUUUUUUUGCCCUAUGUGUGUGUAUGUUAUUUACCUGAUGUUCUCUCUGCCCUCGUGGUGCCUGUGUGUGGUGUGUUUUUCUCAUGUUGAUUUUUCUUAUCAUGCAUGCUUUGUAUUGUAUGUAUGAUAGAUGAUGUCUGCUUACUAUGUGCUUGCUUGUGUAUACUUGCUGCAUGCCUCCUCCACCUAGUAAUACCCCUAUGUCCUGAUAAUCCCUAGCCUUCUGCUAUAGUAGCUGUCCUUAUGUUAUUCUGUGUCUAGCUAGUAUGCAAAAUGACCUAUAGUCAGCCCCUAUGAGCUGAGUG